Molecule: long non-coding RNA, 376 nt
Filed under: Mytilus galloprovincialis (Mediterranean mussel)
Lineage: Eukaryota; Metazoa; Mollusca; Bivalvia; Mytilida; Mytilidae
Source: RNAcentral
GCAUGCAUACUGUUUGUGCAGUAGCAGUUUGAAAAUUAUUAAAGCGUAAUAAAACAAUGGCAACAAAUACUUUAGGUAAAAGAUAAACGUAGACGAUGUUAUCCGUGUAGUCCAAUUAUGUUUUUUACUUGCUCUCAACUGUUCUACAUUUGGCUUACCAAAUAUUUGACCACGAGCAUACUUGCUGGAGUCUUAGAGCUCAUAUUAGCUUUACACGUGUAUCAUUUGUUUGUUUACCUAAUACAUGUAUAUGUGUAUAUUUAAGUCUAUUGCUUUCAUGCUUUAAAUGAUAAACAACAAUCAUAACAUGAUAUCCGUAGCUCUAACACAAAAUUAGAAAAAAAAUGACAAUGAACAGCCUUUUAAUGAUGAAAAG